UGGGGAAUUUUGGACAAUGGGGGAAACCCUGAUCCAGCAACGCCGCGUGGGUGAUGAAGGCCUUCGGGUCGUAAAGCCCUGUUGAGGGGGAAGAAGAUCUGCGUUAACAGCGCAGAUUUGACGUUACCCCUUGAGGAAGCACCGGCUAACUCUGUGCCAGCAGCCGCGGUAAUACAGAGGGUGCGAGUGUUGUUCGGAAUUAUUGGGCGUAAAGGGCGCGUAGGCGGUUUAGUAAGUCGGGUGUGAAAUCCCUGGGCUUAACCCAGGAACUGCAUCUGAAACUGCUAAGCUAGAGUGCGAUAGAGGAGAGCGGAAUUCCCGGUGUAGAGGUGAAAUUCGUAGAUAUCGGGAGGAACACCAGUGGCGAAAGCGGCUCUCUGGGUCGACACUGACGCUAAGGCGCGAGAGCAUGGGGAGCAAACAG
Molecule: ribosomal RNA, 424 nt
Filed under: uncultured bacterium
Lineage: Bacteria
Description: bacterial SSU rRNA
Rfam family: Bacterial small subunit ribosomal RNA
Source: RNAcentral